UACGGAGGGGGCUAGCGUUGUUCGGAAUUACUGGGCGUAAAGCGCACGUAGGCGGCUUUGCAAGUCAGAGGUGAAAGCCCGGGGCUCAACCCCGGAAUUGCCUUUGAGACUGCAUCGCUAGAAUUGUGGAGAGGUAAGUGGAAUUCCGAGUGUAGAGGUGAAAUUCGUAGAUAUUCGGAAGAACACCAGUGGCGAAGGCGACUUACUGGACACAUAUUGACGCUGAGGUGCGAAAGCUAGGGGAGCAAACAGG
RNAcentral lists this ribosomal RNA (253 nucleotides) under uncultured bacterium. RNAcentral's name for it is "partial 16S ribosomal RNA". It matches the Rfam family "Bacterial small subunit ribosomal RNA", at positions 524 to 776 of the family's 1533-position model. The record is from RNAcentral.